UAUCUCUGUAGAGUCUGCAUAUCAAUAAGCGGAGGAAAAGAAACUAACUAGGAUUCCCUCAGUAACGGCGAGUGAAGCGGGAAGAGCUCAAAUUUGAAAUCUUCAAGGUUCUACCUUGACGAAUUGUAGUUUAAAGAAGUGUUUUCUGUUGGAAGUUUCGGUAAAAGUUCUUUGGAAUAGGACAUCAUAGAGGGUGAGAAUCCCGUAUUUGACCAUUAUUUUCAACUGUGUGAUACACUUUCAAAGAGUCGGAUUGUUUGGGAAUGCAGUCCAAAGUGGGUGGUAAAUUUCAUCUAAAGCUAAAUAUUGGCGAGAGACCGAUAGCGAACAAGUACCGUGAGGGAAAGAUGAAAAGAACUUUGAAAAGAGAGUUAAACAGUACGUGAAAUUGUCAAAAGGGAAGCGUUUGACACCAGUGUUGUUUUCUCGAAAAUCAAUUAAAAUAAUUGGGGAUUUUGUGUUGUAUUGACCUUAUAAGCAUUUCUGCACUUUUUUCAUGUUUAUUUUUAAUGCACUUUUCGUUUAACAAGUCAACAUCAAUUUCUUUUGUUGUAAAAGGGUCAUUGGAAGGUGGCUUUCUUUUCGGAGAAAGUGUUUAUAGCCUUUGACUCCUGCAAUCGGAGAGACUGAGGUCUGCAGCGUAGAUCCUUCUGGAUUAGAUUCAUUUGUGCUAAGUUAUAGCUUUUCAUAGACAACUUGUUGACUAUGUUUUAGUCAUGUAGCUUACUCGCUUAUGUAAUUUUACCUACGCUUAGGAUGUUGAUCUCUCACAGUCGAGC
This 779-nucleotide ribosomal RNA is filed under the name uncultured Neocallimastigales. RNAcentral's name for it is "partial large subunit ribosomal RNA". It matches the Rfam family "Eukaryotic large subunit ribosomal RNA", at positions 24 to 645 of the family's 3401-position model. The record is from RNAcentral. Lineage: Eukaryota; Fungi; Neocallimastigomycota; Neocallimastigomycetes; Neocallimastigales.